UACGUAGGGUGCGAGCGUUAAUCGGAAUUACUGGGCGUAAAGCGUGCGCAGGCGGUCUUGCAAGACAGGUGUGAAAUCCCCGGGCUUAACCUGGGAACUGCACUUGUGACUGCAAGGCUGGAGUGCGGCAGAGGGGGAUGGGAAUUCCGCGUGUAGCAGUGAAAUGCGUAGAUAUGCGGAGGAAGCACCGAUGGCGAAGGCAAUCCCCUGGGCCUGCACUGACGCUCAUGCACGAAAGCGUGGGGAGCAAACAGG
This 255-nucleotide ribosomal RNA is filed under the name uncultured bacterium. Its description in RNAcentral is "partial 16S ribosomal RNA". It matches the Rfam family "Bacterial small subunit ribosomal RNA", at positions 524 to 776 of the family's 1533-position model. The record is from RNAcentral.